RNAcentral lists this ribosomal RNA (497 nucleotides) under uncultured bacterium. Its description in RNAcentral is "partial 16S ribosomal RNA". It matches the Rfam family "Bacterial small subunit ribosomal RNA", at positions 28 to 507 of the family's 1533-position model. The record is from RNAcentral.
GAUGAACGCUGGCGGCGUGCCUAAUACAUGCAAGUCGAGCGAACAGACGAGGAGCUUGCUCCUCUGACGUUAGCGGCGGACGGGUGAGUAACACGUGGAUAACCUACCUAUAAGACUGGGAUAACUUCGGGAAACCGGAGCUAAUACCGGAUAAUAUAUUGAACCGCAUGGUUCAAUAGUGAAAGACGGUUUUGCUGUUACUUAUAGAUGGAUCCGCGCCGCAUUAGCUAGUUGGUAAGGUAACGGCUUACCAAGGCAACGAUGCCUAGCCGACCUGAGAGGGUGAUCCGCCACACUGGAACUGAGACACGGUCCAGACUCCUACGGGAGGCAGCAGUAGGGAAUCUUCCGCAAUGGGCGAAAGCCUGACGGAGCAACGCCGCGUGAGUGAUGAAGGUCUUCGGAUCGUAAAACUCUGUUAUUAGGGAAGAACAAAUGUGUAAGUAACUAUGCACGUCUUGACGGUACCUAAUCAGAAAGCCACGGCUAACUACGUG